UGAAACUGAUCUAUGUGUGCCAUUGA
This 26-nucleotide non-coding RNA is filed under the name Homo sapiens (human). The record is from RNAcentral. Lineage: Eukaryota; Metazoa; Chordata; Mammalia; Primates; Hominidae.